Long non-coding RNA from Xenopus laevis (African clawed frog), 789 nucleotides. RefSeq lists it as uncharacterized. The record is from RefSeq and is a predicted model, not a curated record. The transcript is spliced from 3 exons. Lineage: Eukaryota; Metazoa; Chordata; Amphibia; Anura; Pipidae.
GCUGGGAGUUGUAGUCUGAAAAUGGAUGACUGCAGGAGUUUAAGGUGGACACUCCUGCCUUAGUACCUUGAUAAUUCAACUCAGACUCUUCUCUGUAUUCCCCCUUCAAUCAGUGAUUUCUUAUUCCUGCUGCAGGUGAUCAUUGGAGGGUAACCAAUCUGCAAUCAAUGGACUGUGAGAUGUGUAUAGCAGGACUUAAGGAAUGAAGAUCCAAAUCAUGGAAAGAUUCAUUAUCCGGAAAACCCGGAGGGGUUCUGGAUAACAGGUCCCAUACUAGUACUUUGAUUAUAUCAUUAUGAACAUCCUGGUGCACUGAAUGAAGACAGCGCCAUCUUGAUGACAUCGCUGCCAUUGUCAAGCUUCAUCCUUUGUCAUGGCACAAGUUGGAAGAUCCAUAACAUCAUCCUAAAUCUGUAAGCCUGAUGGCAGGGUCCACUUUCUCAAGACAUAGCAAGCAGUAGAGAUAUGACAUGUUUUUCUUAUGUAUAAAAGAACACAAGUAAAUAGACCUUUGAGGAUCUUCUUAACUUGAGCCCAUAUUACUUCAAUUCCAUCUGACUCAAGUAGGAAGGACUUUGCUGGCAGAGCCAUGUUUUAGGAGAUACAGUUCUGACUGUGUAAGCGUUCUAAACACUCAAUUCCAUAGUCAGAGCUGGAUUGUAUUGUCAGCCUAUUUUUUCAACGAGAAUUAGAUACAAAUUCCAAAUUAGUCUUCGUGACAUAACCCUCCCCACCAUCCAUUCCAUAUACUUUAAGAUUUAUGAUUUACAGAGAAUGACACAGGCUGCA